GACGAACGCUGGCGGCGUGCUUAACACAUGCAAGUCGAACGGAAAGGCCCUGCUUGCCGGGUACUCGAGUGGCGAACGGGUGAGUAACACGUGGGUGAUCUGCCCUGCACUUCGGGAUAAGCCUGGGAAACUGGGUCUAAUACCGGAUAGGAGCCAUUUUUAGUGUGAUGGUUGGAAAGUUUUUUCGGUGUAGGAUGAGCUCGCGGCCUAUCAGCUUGUUGGUGGGGUAAUGGCCUACCAAGGCGGCGACGGGUAGCCGGCCUGGGAGGGUGGAAGGCCACAAUGGGGCUGGGGUACGGCCCAGGCUCCUACGGGAGGCAGCAGGGGGGAAGAUUGCAAAAUGGGGGGAAGCCUGAUGCAACGACGCCGCGUGGGGGAAGACGGCCUUCGGGUUGUAAACUCCUUUCGCUAGGGACGAAGCUUUUUGUGACGGUACCUAGAUAAGAAGCACCGGCUAACUACGUG
This 465-nucleotide ribosomal RNA is filed under the name uncultured bacterium. RNAcentral describes it as "partial 16S ribosomal RNA". It matches the Rfam family "Bacterial small subunit ribosomal RNA", at positions 28 to 507 of the family's 1533-position model. The record is from RNAcentral.